This 756-nucleotide unclassified non-coding RNA is filed under the name Hevea brasiliensis (rubber tree). The record is from RNAcentral. Lineage: Eukaryota; Viridiplantae; Streptophyta; Magnoliopsida; Malpighiales; Euphorbiaceae.
AGGGCUAUACGGACUCGAACCGUAGACCUUCUCGGUAAAACAGAUCAAACUGAUUUUUAUCAAAAUGAUUCGAACUUUUUCAAAGACCCAACAUGCUUUUUUUGUUUUGCAUUGGGCUCGUUCAUUAACUGAUAUAAAUAAUCCGUUAGUCUACCAUAAUUCUCUUGGCAGAAAGAUAAGAAGAUGGCUCCGUGUGCUCUGAUUUAUGUAUUCCGAUCCAAGAGCACUACCAAAGUGUUUCAAAGAAGAGAAGGGUUAUCCUGACGUAGGUCUGCUUUUGGCUUAGAUCAACCUAAGUUAAAUGGAAUCUCCAUCGCCCCACUUCUGCUUAAAGAAUCCAAUAUGAAACUUCAUACACCUUAAAGUUCAUAGGAUAGGACGAAAAGAGAAUUUUUGAGGUUCUUAUACUCAUUAUGCCUAGCAUUGAAUAGACUGGGUAUUCACCUUAUCAAGGUCUUAAAUCAAUAAUCAAUGAUGGGUUCUAUUGGGCGUCUAAAAAGGCACCUAAAUUGGACCGAACCUUUUGUGUCAGGCUAUUGUUCUCUUGUUCCCUAAAAGUCAUGGAGUAAGACAUCGACUUCUCAAUAAGUCUUUUGAUUACAUGAUGGACCCCUUUGAAAAAAAAAAAAAAAAAACAUUGGCGCGCGUGUAAACGAGGUGCUCUACCUAACUGAGCUAUAGCCCUUGUGUUUGUGAUACAUAUUUUAUCAUGUCGAUAAUUUCUUGUCAAGAUGAAUAUUAUAUGAUCCAACAUCC